Oreochromis aureus is the source of this 1677-nucleotide long non-coding RNA. The record is from Ensembl. Lineage: Eukaryota; Metazoa; Chordata; Actinopteri; Cichliformes; Cichlidae.
GAGCAGAUCACUGCAGCAGUGAGAUGGAGAAACUGUGUGUUUGACCAGCGUGUGCAACAUUUUCAGAGGGGACAAGGGAGAGCAACAGGAAGUCCCACAAACUGCAACAAAACAGGAUCCCCCACCAUCAAACCCUCCCCCCUCUCUACCCCUCCUCCACGGACAAUUUCAUCACUUCUUUUUUUCCUUUUCUUUUUAUUCUUUUUAAUUUUGAUAUCUCUUCAGGAUUCUGUAUAACACUCAGCGGCCAUAUCAGGCCAUCAGGGAAUAUUGUACAACCACAAUAAAAAAAGAUGGAAAGGUUUAAGAAUAUAUAUAUGUUUAUAUCUGCUGUAAGGUUCGGCCUGCCAAGCCUUAAAGCUGACUCCACUGCAACCUCAAAGGUGCAACUUUGACCUCUGUGGCCUCGGGCUCUGCGAGGCUUUCUCCUACUCCAUAUCUUUCAGAAGCACACUGUUCAGUUUUUUGGAAGGUUGGGAUGCUCCUUGGAGUGCUGAUUUUUAGCCCAAGAGCUCCCUCUAGCUCUUUUUUUCCCCCUCCUCCUCCUCGCCAUAUCAAUGCCAACAGUUAGUCCCCUCUGUAUUUCAGAUAUGUAUUAAACACUUUCUUUGUUUUUGGUUUUUGUGUUUUUCUUUUUUUUUCUUUAAAAAAAAAAAAAAAGGAAAUCAGAUGGUUGCCACGUCUGCCCCUCCUGCUAUUAUAAGUUUCUAGAACGGACAGGAUGCCAUUUCACCACUAGUGCCAUGUUUUCGGCGCUUCUGUUUGCCUCAGUGUUUGGGUGCAAUGAGAUCGCAGGGUAGAGGUGGAGAUCAUCGCCUCUGAGCGUCUGUGAGUUAACCCGGGUGAACAAUUCUCCAUUGUUAGUUCCUAGCACUAGUGUGGUAUGCUAGCAACCAAACAAUUUAUAUGGUUUUGAUUUGGUUUUUGAUUUUUUUUUCCUUUUCUCGUUUUGUUUUUCUCUUAUAAAGACAUUUUCGAAAAUAAAUAUUUUGUAUUUUAAGGAUUUUGUCUUGUCUCUUGCAAAAAAGAAGAAAAAAAUGUCGAUUAUUUGGGCCAAUGGAGCUAGUUUGUUAACCACUAAGCUGCAUGAGGUGGUUAGUAGGCUGGUGUUUCAUGUUGCAAAAUUCUCUGACAUGCAUUUAAUGAUGGUAGAGUAUCCCAGAUGAUGUAUACGUUAGCAAAUGUCUUCUUUUUUUUUCUUUUUUUUAAAAGAAGAGGUGUUUACAUUAAAAAAAAUUAAAAUUACUCCAAAAAUGGAGAUGUUAACACCCUAAGAAUGAGACUACACCUUUGUGUGCUGCUCUGUCAGUAACAACUUUACAUCAAAGGGCAUUAAAUCCAUUUUUCUAAUGGCUUUGAUUUUCAUUUUGCUCUUUUUUUCACUUAAAGUAAUUUGUUUUAUCACAUUGAAUUAACCUUUCCUAUGAUUCUAAGCAAGAUUUAUUUCUUUUCAUCAAAAAACAAGAAGCACAAGUCGUUACUGUAGCUGUCAUGAUAAUUAAGAGUUCCAGAUCAAACACUACAUCAUUGUGAGAAACUGGAUCCCCUCGCAGCAUUUCUACAGAUUUUUUUAAAAACAGAUUUUCCACAUCUGAAAUAAAGAUUUUCAUUUGCCUUUGAAAUUUAAACAUCUUGUUCUCCAGCUUAUAUUUUCAUAAAUAAAUUUUUUUGCUGUCC